UCAUGCCUUGAAGAUAGGUCAUAGCUAUAGCCAUUAAGGGAGCCAGCUCUUCCAGGAGCAACCUGCUCCUUGUGCCACCUUGGUUGUUCACAUAUGAAGCCACCGCUCGGUUGUCUGUUUUGAUUAGAACCCAAGAAUUCCUUAGCCUUGGUAGGAAUCUCAAAAUGGCCUUGUAAACCGCUCUCAGUUCCCUUAAGUUUGAGUGUAGGCGACUCUCUUCUCGGGUCCACUUCCCUUGAGUCCAUACAGAACUGAAGUGGGCACCCCAUC
Non-coding RNA from Pelobates cultripes (western spadefoot toad), 270 nucleotides. The record is from the annotation of a GenBank genome assembly. Lineage: Eukaryota; Metazoa; Chordata; Amphibia; Anura; Pelobatidae.